CCUACGGGUGGCAGCAGUGAGGAAUAUUGGUCAAUGGUCGGGAGACUGAACCAGCCAAGCCGCGUGAGGGAUGAAGGUACAGAGUAUCGUAAACCUCUUUUGUCAGGGAACAAAGGCGGGGACGCGUCCCCGGAUGAGUGUACCUGAAGAAAAAGCAUCGGCUAACUCCGUGCCAGCAGCCGCGGUAAUACGGGGGAUGCGAGCGUUAUCCGGAUUUAUGGGGUUUAAGGGGUGCGCAGGCGGUCUGUUAAGUCAGCGGUCAAAGCCCGGGGCUCAACCCCGGCCCGCCGUUGAAACUGGCAGUCGCGAGUUGGAGAAAAGUAUGCGGAAUGCGCGGUGUAGCGGUGAAAUGCAUAGAUAUCGCGCAGAACUCCGAUUGCGAAGGCAGCAUGCCGGCUCCACACUGACGCUGAGGCACGAAAGCGUGGGUAUCGAACAGGAUUAGAUACCCGAGUAGUC
RNAcentral lists this ribosomal RNA (459 nucleotides) under uncultured bacterium. RNAcentral's name for it is "partial 16S ribosomal RNA". It matches the Rfam family "Bacterial small subunit ribosomal RNA", at positions 338 to 795 of the family's 1533-position model. The record is from RNAcentral.